UAGGGAAUCUUCCACAAUGGGCGAAAGCCUGAUGGAGCAACGCCGCGUGGGUGAAGAAGGUCUUCGGAUCGUAAAACCCUGUUGUUAGAGAAGAAAGUGCGUGAGAGUAACUGUUCACGUUUCGACGGUAUCUAACCAGAAAGCCACGGCUAACUACGUGCCAGCAGCCGCGGUAAUACGUAGGUGGCAAGCGUUAUCCGGAUUUAUUGGGCGUAAAGGGAACGCAGGCGGUCUUUUAAGUCUGAUGUGAAAGCCUUCGGCUUAACCGGAGUAGUGCAUUGGAAACUGGGAGACUUGAGUGCAGAAGAGGAGAGUGGAACUCCAUGUGUAGCGGUGAAAUGCGUAGAUAUAUGGAAGAACACCAGUGGCGACAGCGGCUCUCUGGUCUGUAACUUACGCUGAGGUUCGAAAGCGUGGGUAGCAAACAGG
RNAcentral lists this ribosomal RNA (429 nucleotides) under bacterium. RNAcentral describes it as "partial 16S ribosomal RNA". It matches the Rfam family "Bacterial small subunit ribosomal RNA", at positions 355 to 776 of the family's 1533-position model. The record is from RNAcentral.